Molecule: long non-coding RNA, 310 nt
Organism: Mytilus trossulus (common blue mussel)
Lineage: Eukaryota; Metazoa; Mollusca; Bivalvia; Mytilida; Mytilidae
Exons: 3
Source: RefSeq, a predicted model, not a curated record
AGGUUUGUGUGCAAAGAGUGUUCGUUCGUGGCGGUGCAGUACGAUAUCAACUUGGAUGUGAGCGGAAAUUAAUGUGCGACCACCUGUUAAAGGAUUAUAGGUAUACACACGGCCUAGGUCAAGGAAGACGAGCCAAUGGAGAUACAGAUAUUUGUUCAGCAUGUUGUAAUACUAACCAAUGUAACGCCGAACAUUGUAGACAUCUUAUCAAAAAGCAGAAAUGUAAUUUUCCUUCCGUCUGUGGACCAUAGAUAUCGUGGGCUGAAAACAAGAGUUGUAACUUAAGCUUGAAAUAAAUCAUACCCAAGAG